Molecule: long non-coding RNA, 2641 nt
Organism: Planococcus citri (citrus mealybug)
Lineage: Eukaryota; Metazoa; Arthropoda; Insecta; Hemiptera; Pseudococcidae
Exons: 3
Source: RefSeq, a predicted model, not a curated record
UUUCGAUCUACCUUUGUAAAGUUUGAAAAAGUUUGUGCAAGUCCUAUGUUAAAACGCAAAAUCUGCGAUUUCGGCUGACCUGUCAAUCAAAAUGGCCGCCAUUUUGUAAGUAAGGCCAACUUUUUUUUUGGCAACUUUGCAUUAAAAUGUUCCUCAGGAUGUCCCCUUUAAGAAAAAUGUUGUCCCGGAGGAUCGGCGGGGGGGGGGGUGCAAUUACUCCUAUUGUCAUAUGCCGGACUAUCAGAUUUGGAAGACAUAUUAUGGAUGUAUGCGGUUCCAUCAUCUACGUCAUUAAAGCCUGUCAUCAUGUAUCGUCGGUACAAUUGGGAUUGACUAAUAUGAUCCAGAUUCCAGGUGGUGACGACUUAUAGCACCAAUAAGAUAAGUACGAAAGUAAAAAUCAAAAAACUCGCGAAGAAGUGUGGAAUAAAUUUUCGAAAAUUAAAACCGAAGGCUGUAAUCACGUGCCAAUUGUUUCGUGUGAUAAUUGUGCAGCACUGUUUCGGUUUUUUAAAGGUGCUAGUGUACGAGUAUAAUUAGCCCGCGAGCCAACUGAAGAAAUUCAUUAGGUCUUUGGUGACAAAAUUAACUCAUAGAUCACUAAUGUUUUUCAUUGCCUACCUCAUGUCGAAAAUUGUGACAGGAUAAACACUUGGCGUGUCAGCAGGCCUUUUCAAAUACGAGUGGUUUUUAAAUAAGGCUUUUGACUUAUUGCGGGUUGCAUAUCGGUUUGCCUAAACUUGAUCAGUUUGGUGGGCAUUCUUAUCAGUGAGUAUCAAAAUUUCAUAUUUUGAGCAAUUUUCACGAGGUGUUUUUGAAAUGUAUAGCUUUUAUUUAGUUUUUUCUUCAAUUUCUAAACACUGUUAAACCCUGUAAUGGAAAAAGAUCCUCUCUUCGUCGAGUUUUAAAGAAGUUGAGAAAACGUCUUUGAACCUCGACAAAGAGCGGAUUUUUUUCCAUCGCAGGAUUUAACGGUGUUUAAAAUUGAAGAAAAAACUAAAUAAAAGCUAUACAUUUCAAAAACACGUUGUGAAAAUUGCUCAAAAUAUGAAAUUUUGAUAUUCACUGAUAAGAAUGCCCACCAAACCGAUAAAGUUCAGGCAAACCGAUAUGCAAUCCGCAAUACGUCAAAAGCCUUAUUACCUAUAAUAUUGGGGUUCAACCCAGAACCAAACAUUUUGAUGUUAAGGAUGUUGUUCCUGACUCAACAACAGUUUCCCGAGAAGUGAUUAAAAACACCAAAAAAAACUCAAAUGAUUGUGCAAGAAAUAAAACCAAUAGUAGAAAAAGAAACAACAAGUGUGGUGCACAGAGCAACUCAUAGCAUAUCUCGAUGGUAAACACAUGAUCAGCAAUAAAGAUCGGAGUAGCUACAAUAACACCUUGAACGGCUACGGCUACAUUAGGCAUUGCAGACAUUUGCGUGAUUUUAACAAAGUUUCCAGGCGAAAGCUGUAUGUAGGCUUCCAUCGUGCGACGCUGUAAAUACAGCCCCAAAAACGCGAAAUGAUCACGAGUCGAGCAGUAAAGAUCCGAAUAAUCCUCAUUAUAACAGCUACAAAUGGCUUCGACAAAUGUUUUUAAAGCACGAAUCAUUGCUAACGAAUGAAGAACUGGGAUUCAUUGAAACUUUGUUCGCUCGAAGAUUUUUUAUUUUUCUGUUUCAGGAACGAUUCAAGGGAAUUAUAAUCGAUUAUGUCCUUGAUUUAAUUUCAAGUAUUCUACCAUUUUUCAAAAAGUGAUCAUGUUUUGAAUUUUUUUAUAGAUACGAUUCAUCAUUUAUUCAAAAAGUGACGAUGUUUUGACUUUUUUUUAUAAAUACGUUUUAUCAUUUUUUAUAAUCGAUAAUGUUCUUGAUUUAAUUUUAAGUAUUUUAAAUGGCGAUGUUUCAACUUUUUUUACUUAUAGAUAGGUACGUUUUAUAAUUUUAAAAAAAUAAAUGAUCGUGUUUUUUUCUCUCUUUUUUAGAAAAAAAAAUGACGAUAAAAAAAGCGGACACUUUGGCCGGCUCCGAUCCAGGACCCCCAAAGUGCCCCGCUUUAAACCAAAUGAUGAAAACAGUGUAAGACAACAGGAGUUGAUCAAGUCUUACGUUUACACAGCCUGCCAUAAAAAGUAUGGAACUUUAAUAGACAAGAUGUACCUGAAAAGCGAAGUCUUAGCUCGUAUGAGACGUGACGUCUGAUUUGUCAACAAACAUUUUUCCAAAACGGCCUCUAUCCAGGUACUUGACUUCGUGGUGCAUUUCGUGGACAUACAGUGCAAUGUUGAUGAAAUGUGGGAAAGAGAUAUACUCCGGUGAGUGGUGUACUAUGCAACCAGCCUAUCAUCCCAGAUUUUAAGAUCACAUAGUCAAGUGUACGAAGUUUUUAUCAGUUUUCUCAAGAAGUACAAAUCACAAUGUUGCCCUUUUUGAAAUGUUUUUCGCAUAACGAAGCAUUGAGAGGUAUGGGUGAUGGGUUAAUACCGCAUUGCUCCAACCAAAUUGAUCUCAUGACAGAAUUUUGUGGAAGGAUAUUAUUGUACAAGUACAUAUUUUUAAUAUCAGAAACCUUUCAUUCACAUGCGACGCACGUCGUCAUUCUUUUAGUGUUAUACAAUCUCGUGGUAUUUUUUUACUCAUUCAUUAUUUCAUUUUUUA